This 309-nucleotide unclassified non-coding RNA is filed under the name Hevea brasiliensis (rubber tree). Lineage: Eukaryota; Viridiplantae; Streptophyta; Magnoliopsida; Malpighiales; Euphorbiaceae. The record is from RNAcentral.
AUGACAUGUUAGGUGGAGAAACCAAAGUCAAAACAGUGUGCAAGAUGUACAUCAGAGUACAUUAUGUGAUUUAUUCUUCCAAUGGAUUAAUAAAUGAACCCUCAAACAUUCCUGGGAAGAAAAAGAUGAGAAAAGAAAUAAAGGUUUCAAAAAGUCAUGUUGUAGAAAACCCUUGGCAGUUUAGGUUAUAUAGCUAAAAACAAACCAUUCAUUUCUUCCCAAAUGUGACUAUUUUAGCUAUCACAAGUCCCUUAAGAUGUUUUUGCAACUAAAGUCACAUAUAUUUCUACUUUAUUGUCCUAAGAUUAA